UCUAUUUGUGUACUGGGCUGG
Molecule: unclassified non-coding RNA, 21 nt
Filed under: Chlamydomonas reinhardtii
Lineage: Eukaryota; Viridiplantae; Chlorophyta; Chlorophyceae; Chlamydomonadales; Chlamydomonadaceae
Description: small RNA Cre_2762
Source: RNAcentral